GAUGAAGAACGUAGCGAAAUGCGAUAAGUAAUGUGAAUUGCAGAAUUCAGUGAAUCAUCGAAUCUUUGAACGCACAUUGCGCCCGCCAGUAUUCUGGCGGGCAUGCCUGUUCGAGCGUCAUUACAACCCUCAGGCCCCCGGGCCUGGCGUUGGGGAUCGGCAGAAGCCCCCUGUGGGCACACGCCGUCCCUCAAAUACAGUGGCGGUCCCGCCGCAGCUUCCAUUGCGUAGUAGCUAACACCUCGCAACUGGAGAGCGGCGCGGCCAUGCCGUAAAACACCCAACUUCUGAAUGUUGACCUCGAAUCAGGUAGGAAUACCCGCUGAACUUAAGCAUAUCAAUAAGCGGAGGA
Molecule: unclassified non-coding RNA, 352 nt
Filed under: soil metagenome
Description: partial contains 5.8S ribosomal RNA, internal transcribed spacer 2, and large subunit ribosomal RNA
Rfam family: 5.8S ribosomal RNA (bases 1-120)
Source: RNAcentral